AGCAGCCGCGGUAAUUCCAGCUCCAAUAGCGUAUAUUAAAGUUGUUGCAGUUAAAAGCUCGUAGUUGAAUUUCGGGAUCAGUUCGUUGGUCGUGCCUUUGGUAUGUACUGGUGUUACUGGUUCCUCCCUUCUGACGAACCGUCAUGUCAUUAAUUUGGUGUGGCGGGAAAUCAGGACUGUUACUUUGAAAAAUUAGAGUGUUUAAAGCAGGCUCGCGCUUGAAUACAUUAGCAUGGAAUAAUGAAAUAGGACGUUCGAUCCUAUUUUGUUGGUUUCUAGGAUUGACGUAAUGAUUAAUAGGGAUAGUUGGGGGCAUUAGUAUUCAAUUGUCAGAGGUGAAAUUCUUGGAUUUAUUGAAGACUAACUACUGCGAAAGCAUUUGCCAAGGAUGUUUUCAUUAAUCAAGAACGAAAGUUAGGGAUCGAAGACGAUCAGAUACCGUCGUAGUCUUAACCAUAAACUAUGCCGACUAGGGAUCG
Molecule: unclassified non-coding RNA, 479 nt
Filed under: uncultured Archaeospora
Lineage: Eukaryota; Fungi; Glomeromycota; Glomeromycetes; Archaeosporales; Archaeosporaceae
Description: SSU rRNA
Rfam family: Eukaryotic small subunit ribosomal RNA
Source: RNAcentral